AAGUCGUAACAAGGUCUCCGUUGGUGAACCAGCGGAGGGAUCAUUACCGAGUUUUCAACUCCCAAACCCACUGUGAACAUAUACCUUUGUUUUCGUUGCCUCGGCGGUUCGCGCCGCCGGGUGACACCUAAACCCUGAUUACAUUAAAGAAUUCUUCUGAGUAACCGAUUAAAUAAAUCAAAACUUUCAACAACGGAUCUCUUGGUUCUG
RNAcentral lists this unclassified non-coding RNA (210 nucleotides) under Marquandomyces marquandii. RNAcentral describes it as "Metarhizium marquandii partial internal transcribed spacer region". The stretch from base 1 to 46 matches the Rfam family "Eukaryotic small subunit ribosomal RNA", at positions 1786 to 1831 of the family's 1831-position model. Lineage: Eukaryota; Fungi; Ascomycota; Sordariomycetes; Hypocreales; Clavicipitaceae. The record is from RNAcentral.